Molecule: microRNA precursor, 59 nt
Organism: Gallus gallus (chicken)
Lineage: Eukaryota; Metazoa; Chordata; Aves; Galliformes; Phasianidae
Source: Ensembl
ACCAUGGCUGUAGACUGUUACCCCCCCAGCAGCACAGUAACAAUCUAAAGCCACGGUCG